RNAcentral lists this ribosomal RNA (1184 nucleotides) under Bacteroides thetaiotaomicron. RNAcentral's name for it is "bacterial SSU rRNA". It matches the Rfam family "Bacterial small subunit ribosomal RNA", at positions 194 to 1384 of the family's 1533-position model. Lineage: Bacteria; Pseudomonadati; Bacteroidota; Bacteroidia; Bacteroidales; Bacteroidaceae. The record is from RNAcentral.
CUUAUUAUUAAAGAAUUUCGGUUAUCGAUGGGGAUGCGUUCCAUUAGGCAGUUGGUGAGGUAACGGCUCACCAAACCUUCGAUGGAUAGGGGUUCUGAGAGGAAGGUCCCCCACAUUGGAACUGAGACACGGUCCAAACUCCUACGGGAGGCAGCAGUGAGGAAUAUUGGUCAAUGGGCGCAGGCCUGAACCAGCCAAGUAGCGUGAAGGAUGACUGCCCUAUGGGUUGUAAACUUCUUUUAUAUGGGAAUAAAGUUUUCCACGUGUGGAAUUUUGUAUGUACCAUAUGAAUAAGGAUCGGCUAACUCCGUGCCAGCAGCCGCGGUAAUACGGAGGAUCCGAGCGUUAUCCGGAUUUAUUGGGUUUAAAGGGAGCGUAGGUGGACAGUUAAGUCAGUUGUGAAAGUUUGCGGCUCAACCGUAAAAUUGCAGUUGAUACUGGCUGUCUUGAGUACAGUAGAGGUGGGCGGAAUUCGUGGUGUAGCGGUGAAAUGCUUAGAUAUCACGAAGAACUCCGAUUGCGAAGGCAGCUCACUGGACUGCAACUGACACUGAUGCUCGAAAGUGUGGGUAUCAAACAGGAUUAGAUACCCUGGUAGUCCACACAGUAAACGAUGAAUACUCGCUGUUUGCGAUAUACAGUAAGCGGCCAAGCGAAAGCAUUAAGUAUUCCACCUGGGGAGUACGCCGGCAACGGUGAAACUCAAAGGAAUUGACGGGGGCCCGCACAAGCGGAGGAACAUGUGGUUUAAUUCGAUGAUACGCGAGGAACCUUACCCGGGCUUAAAUUGCAUUUGAAUAAUUUGGAAACAGUAUAGCCGCAAGGCAAAUGUGAAGGUGCUGCAUGGUUGUCGUCAGCUCGUGCCGUGAGGUGUCGGCUUAAGUGCCAUAACGAGCGCAACCCUUAUCUUUAGUUACUAACAGGUCAUGCUGAGGACUCUAGAGAGACUGCCGUCGUAAGAUGUGAGGAAGGUGGGGAUGACGUCAAAUCAGCACGGCCCUUACGUCCGGGGCUACACACGUGUUACAAUGGGGGGUACAGAAGGCAGCUACCUGGUGACAGGAUGCUAAUCCCAAAAGCCUCUCUCAGUUCGGAUCGAAGUCUGCAACCCGACUUCGUGAAGCUGGAUUCGCUAGUAAUCGCGCAUCAGCCAUGGCGCGUUGAAUCACGUUCCCGGGCCCCUU